UGCGUAGGCGGAAAAUUAAGUCAGUGGUGAAAUCCUGCGGCUCAACCGUAGAACUGCCAUUGAUACUGAUAUUCUUGAAUGUAGUUGAGGUAGGCGGAAUGUGUAAUGUAGCGGUGAAAUGCUUAGAUAUUACACAGAACACCGAUUGCGAAGGCAGCUUACUAAACUAUGAUUGACGCUGAGGCACGAAAGCGUGGGGAGCGAACAGGAUUAGAUACCCUGGUAGUC
RNAcentral lists this ribosomal RNA (228 nucleotides) under uncultured bacterium. Its description in RNAcentral is "partial 16S ribosomal RNA". It matches the Rfam family "Bacterial small subunit ribosomal RNA", at positions 568 to 795 of the family's 1533-position model. The record is from RNAcentral.